AGUGAACGCUGGCGGUAGGCCUAACACAUGCAAGUCGAACGGCAGCACAGUAAGAGCUUGCUCUUACGGGUGGCGAGUGGCGGACGGGUGAGGAAUACAUCGGAAUCUACUUUUUCGUGGGGGAUAACGUAGGGAAACUUACGCUAAUACCGCAUACGACCUACGGGUGAAAGCAGGGGAUCUUCGGACCUUGCGCGAUUGAAUGAGCCGAUGUCGGAUUAGCUAGUUGGCGGGGUAAAGGCCCACCAAGGCGACGAUCCGUAGCUGGUCUGAGAGGAUGAUCAGCCACACUGGAACUGAGACAGGGUCCAGACUACUGCGGGAGGCAGCAGUGGGGAAUAUUGGACAAUGGGCGCAAGCCUGAUCCAGCCAUACCGCGUGGGUGAAGAAGGCCUUCGGGUUGUAAAGCCCUUUUGUUGGGAAAGAAAAGCAGCAGGUUAAUACCCCGCUGUUCUGACGGUACCCAAAGAAUAAGCACCGGCUAACUUCGUG
RNAcentral lists this ribosomal RNA (492 nucleotides) under uncultured bacterium. Its description in RNAcentral is "partial 16S ribosomal RNA". It matches the Rfam family "Bacterial small subunit ribosomal RNA", at positions 29 to 507 of the family's 1533-position model. The record is from RNAcentral.